GAUGAACGCUGGCGGCGUGCCUAAUACAUGCAAGUCGAGCGAACAGACGAGGAGCUUGCCCCUCUGACGUUAGCGGCGGACGGGUGAGUAACACGUGGAUAACCUACCUAUAAGACUGGGAUAACUUCGGGAAACCGGAGCUAAUACCGGAUAAUAUAUUGAACCGCAUGGUUCAAUAGUGAAAGACGGUUUUGCUGUCACUUAUAGAUGGAUCCGCGCCGCAUUAGCUAGUUGGUAAGGUAACGGCUUACCAAGGCAACGAUGCGUAGCCGACCUGAGAGGGUGAUCGGCCACACUGGAACUGAGACACGGUCCAGACUCCUACGGGAGGCAGCAGUAGGGAAUCUUCCGCAAUGGGCGAAAGCCUGACGGAGCAACGCCGCGUGAGUGAUGAAGGUCUUCGGAUCGUAAAACUCUGUUAUUAGGGAAGAACAAAUGUGUAAGUAACUACGCACGUCUUGACGGUACCUAAUCAGAAAGCCACGGCUAACUACGUG
This 497-nucleotide ribosomal RNA is filed under the name uncultured bacterium. RNAcentral's name for it is "partial 16S ribosomal RNA". It matches the Rfam family "Bacterial small subunit ribosomal RNA", at positions 28 to 507 of the family's 1533-position model. The record is from RNAcentral.